AUUCUCUUUUUUUAUUUCUUAUUAGAAAUUAAGCAUUUAAGGGUUCUCAAGGGUUAUUCCUGCAGACAUUCUCUCCUUGCAAUCAAAUGAGCCCAAGGAUAUUAAUAAGAUGUGCGGUAAUUAUAACACGUCAGGCCAAGAGACGUUCUUCCGUGUGUAAAUAUUUUAUGGAACCAGCACUGUGAAGCGGCACCUACAGAGUGAAGUACUGCCUCAGUGAGCCCCAGGGAAUCUUAACCACUUCUCAUUAAUCAGCCUCUCUUACUUUCUGUACCUGAAAUGGUAUUUAAAGAGACCAAAAGCCAUUAAAAAAUAAAAAGAUCCCUGAAAGAUGAUAUUAACACUAUUCACGAAAAGGAAGCAUUUCAGAGGUUUCAAAUGCAACAUGCGUAAAAAUUGGAAAGCUUACCUUGAUGACCUGUUGGGGCAGAAACAAUGAGUCUAAAGAGAAAUCACAAGUUACAUCCACUCUACUAAGCCAUUAAAAAGAUACUCCAUUUUACC
This 504-nucleotide long non-coding RNA is filed under the name Bos taurus (domestic cattle). Its description in RNAcentral is "long non-coding RNA NONBTAT022296". Lineage: Eukaryota; Metazoa; Chordata; Mammalia; Artiodactyla; Bovidae. The record is from RNAcentral.